Molecule: ribosomal RNA, 253 nt
Filed under: uncultured bacterium
Lineage: Bacteria
Description: partial 16S ribosomal RNA
Rfam family: Bacterial small subunit ribosomal RNA
Source: RNAcentral
UACGUAGGGUGCAAGCGUUGUCCGGAAUUAUUGGGCGUAAAGAGCUCGUAGGCGGCCUGUUGCGUCCGCUGUGAAAUCCCGGGGCUCAACCCCGGGCUUGCAGUGGAUACGGGCUGGCUAGAGGCAGGCAGGGGAGAACGGAAUUCCUGGUGUAGCGGUGAAAUGCGCAGAUAUCAGGAGGAACACCAAUGGCGAAGGCAGCUCGCUGGGACGUGACUGACGCUGAGACGCGAAAGCGUGGGGAGCAAACAGG